ACCAUCUUCCAUUGGUCAAUGUUUGCCCCUGGGGAGCUCCCGUUUGCAUCUGACAAGGCACUCAAAGGAACUGCCCAGACAUGCACAGGGAGUGAGUCUCUCCAGCGGCAGCUGGAGCUGAGCAAAGGGUCAGGGGCUCCAGAAACAGGAAUUCAGAUGUCCUCUGGAUCUGCUUCAAAACUGUAUCCCGUCUUUAUGGCUUUGCCUAGACUAUUAUGGCAGCAGAAUGAUGUGCUGGCUGACCUCAACAAACCUAACAUUGCUCAUAGCCAGAAAAAUUGGGAAUUAAGGCUUACGAUGAGAGGAAGAAGGAACCACCGCCCAAAGAGAGGAUCUGUUGCUGUCAUAUCCAAGCUAUUCUAUCAUGUUAGAAGAAAUAUAGUCUCCGUAUUGUACUGGAAAGAACUUAAGAUGCAGACUACGAUGAGACCCUAUAAGAUGGAGAAGACACAAGAGGAAAGGAGCCAGAGUCUCUGAAUGAUGGUGUAGUGAUGCUUUCCUGACAAUCUUAACAUCCACUCAGGACUCUGACAUUAGCAAGAUAUAAAUUUGUAUGUCAUUAAGCCACUGAAAUUUUGGAGUCUGUUUGUUAGUUCAACAAACCUAGUCCACAGGGUCUAUGUUUUUAAGAUCUAAGCACGUUAAAAUGGUGUCAGAAGAGAGUGUAAAUUUGGAUAAUUAGAGGGAAAGGAAACAAACAAUAUCACUACAUCAGUUAUAAGACAAGAGAGAUACGGACAGAGUACACAGGUUGGUGAAUGGCCCACAGCCAGAAGAGUGUUCUGGUUAUCCAUUGCUGUAUAAUAAACUGUUCUGAAACUUAACAACUUAAAGCAAUAAUCAUUUCAUUCCAUCUUCUUAAGUUUAAGAUUUUGAGGGUCAGGAAUUCAGGCAGAGCUCAGCUGGAUGAUUCUUCCGUUCCAUGUGGCAUUGAGAGGUUGUUGGUAGACGAGUGGAUCUGAACCAUCAAAGACUACUUUGUUCAUAAGUCUUGUGUUUUGUGUAAAUGGCCAGAAGGCUGGGCUUAGCUGGGAUUAUGGGCUUGGGGCCAGUAUGUGAUUGCUCCCCAGGACUCUGAGUAAUCCAAAUUCUUACACAGGCCUCCAAGAAAGAGAGUUCUAAAAUAUUUGGUUGAAAUCAGCAAGUCUUCAUUUGAUUUAACCUCAGAAGUUCCACCUCAAUUUCAAUGGCAGAAAAAUUAGAUUUCACCACUCAUUGAAAAGUAUGGCAAGUAUUUGCAGUCUUCUUUAAUGUAAAGCAGAACAACUUUUUUUUUUAACAAGCUAGAAGGAAGAAUUAAUUGAUAAGGAUGUCAUUUGCUUUUACAAGCUCUGGAAAAAACUUGAGGAAUUUCCAUUGAUUCUAUAAGAUAAGACAGUGAUAUAAAAUUUUUGAGAAUUUUCAGACAAAUAUAGAUGACCAAGUAUGCUGGUUCAAGUCCUUUUGGAAGCAGACACCAAGAAGGAAUUGGUUGUUCAAAAGAUUUAUUUGGGGAAAAUUUAGUGAUGGACAAAGGACGGAAGGAACAGGAGUUAGUAGGGAGAGUUUUAGAGCAAAUGCAGGUCUGACAACUAUUAAAGGAGAUAGGAAAGGAAGGAUAAAAUUGAAUAGGAGGAGUCUCAGACUAAAGUGUAGUUCUGAGAAAUUCUCAACCAGUGUGAUGGGGAGUCUCAGAGCAAAGAAUGCACAUUUGAGGAGUCCUUCGUGAGAGAGAAAUAGUGCUCUAUUCCCUCCACCAUGUGCAUUCAUUGGCUGGGAGUAGCCCAGGGAAAAUAUGUCCUGUGUAUAAAUGCUGGAUGGAUCCAAAGUUGUGGCAGCUGGAGUCAGGAAAUCAACUACGUUGCUCGCAAGGAAUCUCUCUUGAAGGGAGAUCUGAGAAGUACACAUCCAUGGCUGCCACAUUAGGCUUGAGAAUAGUUAAGAAGGUGUGGAAAAUUCUUGUCUGGAAUGGGAGAGUUGGUUCAAGAGACAUAGUAAUGGCAUAGUUAUCAAUUCUAUAAUUGAUAUAGCUAGGUUUAGUGUCCAUGGAUUUUGAGCACAAUAGAUUUUCUGUGAAUUUCUCUUGCUCAGCUGUCUAGGUUCAACAUUAAACUCUUAUUCCCUAUUUUUCUCCAUCCUUUAGUGCUCUGUCU
RNAcentral lists this long non-coding RNA (2132 nucleotides) under Equus caballus (horse). Its description in RNAcentral is "lncRNA (ENSECAG00000035820.3)". Lineage: Eukaryota; Metazoa; Chordata; Mammalia; Perissodactyla; Equidae. The record is from RNAcentral.